CCUACGGGUGGCAGCAGUCGAGAAUCAUUCACAAUGGGGGAAACCCUGAUGGUGCGACGCCGCGUGGGGGAAUGAAGGUCUUCGGAUUGUAAACCCCUGUCAUGUGGGAGCAAAUUAAAAAGAUAGUACCACAAGAGGAAGAGACGGCUAACUCGGUGCCAGCAGCCGCGGUAAUACAGAGGUCUCAAGCGUUGUUCGGAAUCACUUGGCGUAAAGCGUGCGGAGGCUGUUUAGUAAGUCGUGUGUGAAAGGCGCGGGCUCAACCGGCGGACGGCACAUGAUACUGGGAGACUAGAGUAAUGGAGGGGUAGGCGGAAUUCUAGGUGUAGCAGUGAAAUGCGUAGAUAUCGAGAGGAACACUCGUGGCGAAGGCGGGUUCCUGGACAUUAACUGACGCUGAGGCACGAAGGCCAGGGGAGCGAAAAGGAUUAGAUACCCGAGUAGUC
Molecule: ribosomal RNA, 446 nt
Filed under: uncultured bacterium
Lineage: Bacteria
Description: partial 16S ribosomal RNA
Rfam family: Bacterial small subunit ribosomal RNA
Source: RNAcentral